GCGUUUUUAAUCCUUGGAGGGUUACUCGCGACCGCAUAGCUUUUCUACUAUGCGACCGCAUAGUAGAGUGAACUUCCAAAUUGAGUCAUUUUGAUCCUCAAAUUUCAUUCCUUCACUCCUUGACCUCCUCUCUUGUUUCUAGUUGCUCCAAUGUUCUAUUAUAACUUCCAAUUGGUGCUUAGCUUGAUCAAUUGCUUGAUG
This 201-nucleotide long non-coding RNA is filed under the name Olea europaea (common olive). Its description in RNAcentral is "long non-coding RNA (OEUR_LNC002928)". The record is from RNAcentral. Lineage: Eukaryota; Viridiplantae; Streptophyta; Magnoliopsida; Lamiales; Oleaceae.